This 465-nucleotide ribosomal RNA is filed under the name uncultured bacterium. RNAcentral describes it as "partial 16S ribosomal RNA". It matches the Rfam family "Bacterial small subunit ribosomal RNA", at positions 28 to 507 of the family's 1533-position model. The record is from RNAcentral.
GACGAACGCUGGCGGCGUGCUUAACACGUGCAAGUCGAACGGAAAGGCCCCUUUGGGGGUACUCGAGUGGCGCACGGGUGAGUAACACGUGAGUAACCUGCCCUUGACUUCGGGAUAACUUCAGGAAACUGGGGCUAAUACCGGAUAGGAAUCCUUGCUGCAUGGUGGGGGUUGGAAAGCUUCGGCGGUUUUGGAUGGACUCGCGGCUUAUCAGCUUGUUGGUGGGGUAGUGGCUUACCAAGGCUUUGACGGGUAGCCGGCCUGAGAGGGCGACCGGCCACAUUGGGACUGAGAUACGGCCCAGACUCCUACGGGAGGCAGCAGUGGGGAAUAUUGCACAAUGGGCGGAAGCCUGAUGCAGCAACGCCGCGUGCGGGAUGACGGCCUUCGGGUUGUAAACCGCUUUCAGCAGGGGCGAAGCUUGUGGUGACGGUACCUGCAGAAGAAGCACCGGCUAACUACGUG